GAUGAAGAACGCAGCAAAAUGCGAUACUUGGUGUGAAUUGCAGAAUCCCGUGAACCAUCGAGUUUUUGAACGCAAGUUGCGCCCGAAGCCAUUCGGCUGAGGGCACGUCUGCCUGGGCGUCACGCAUCGCGUCGCUCCCACCAUACCUUCCUUCGGGAUGCUAGGUUGGGGGCGGAUGCUGGCCUCCCGUGAGCCUCGCCUCGCGGCUGGCCCAAAUGCGAGAUCUCUGCUGCGAGCGUCGCGGCGAUGGUGGUUGUCGAAUAACUCGGUGCCCCGUCGCGAACGCCCCCAGCGUGAUGUCUCGGAACGACCCCUGCGCGCGGCCUCGCGCCGCACUUCCAACGCGACCCCAGGUCAGGCGGGGCUACCCGCUGAAUUUAAGCAUAUCAAUAAGCGGAGGA
Molecule: unclassified non-coding RNA, 401 nt
Filed under: soil metagenome
Description: partial contains 5.8S ribosomal RNA, internal transcribed spacer 2, and large subunit ribosomal RNA
Rfam family: 5.8S ribosomal RNA (bases 1-122)
Source: RNAcentral